This 253-nucleotide ribosomal RNA is filed under the name uncultured bacterium. RNAcentral describes it as "partial 16S ribosomal RNA". It matches the Rfam family "Bacterial small subunit ribosomal RNA", at positions 524 to 776 of the family's 1533-position model. The record is from RNAcentral.
UACGGAGGGGACUAGGGUUGUUCGGAAUUACUGGGCGUAAAGCGCGCGUAGGCGGAUUUGCAAGUCGGGGGUGAAAGCCCGAGGCUCAACCUCGGAACUGCCCUCGAUACUGCAAAUCUCGAGUCCGAGAGAGGUGAGUGGAAUUCCUAGUGUAGAGGUGAAAUUCGUAGAUAUUAGGAAGAACACCAGUGGCGAAGGCGGCUCACUGGCUCGGUACUGACGCUGAGGCGCGAAAGCGUGGGGAGCAAACAGG